GAUAAACGCUAGCGGCAGGCCUAACACAUGCAAGUCGCGGGGCAGCAUAACAAUUAGCAAUAAUCGUUGAUGGCGACCGGCGCACGGGUGCGUAACACGUAUGUAACCUGGCCUUUACAGGGGGAUAGUCAGAGGAAACUUUGAAUAAUACCCCAUAACACACCAUUAAGGCAUCUUAAAGGUAGUUAAAGGAGCGAUCCGGUAAAGGAUGGGCAUGCGACCGAUUAGACAGUUGGUGAGGUAACGGCUCACCAAAUCCACGAUCGGUAGGGGGGUCUGAGAGGACUACCCCCCCACCACUGGUACUGAGAUACGGACCCAG
This 322-nucleotide ribosomal RNA is filed under the name uncultured bacterium. Its description in RNAcentral is "bacterial SSU rRNA". It matches the Rfam family "Bacterial small subunit ribosomal RNA", at positions 28 to 334 of the family's 1533-position model. The record is from RNAcentral.